This 507-nucleotide ribosomal RNA is filed under the name uncultured bacterium. RNAcentral describes it as "bacterial SSU rRNA". It matches the Rfam family "Bacterial small subunit ribosomal RNA", at positions 9 to 505 of the family's 1533-position model. The record is from RNAcentral.
GAGUUUGAUCCUGGCUCAGAUUGAACGCUGGCGGCAGGCCUAACACAUGCAAGUCGAACGGUAACAGGAAGAAGCUUGCUUCUUUGCUGACGAGUGGCGGACGGGUGAGUAAUGUCUGGGAAACUGCCUGAUGGAGGGGGAUAACUACUGGAAACGGUAGCUAAUACCGCAUAACGUCGCAAGACCAAAGAGGGGGACCUUCGGGCCUCUUGCCAUCGGAUGUGCCCAGAUGGGAUUAGCUAGUAGGUGGGGUAACGGCUCACCUAGGCGACGAUCCCUAGCUGGUCUGAGAGGAUGACCAGCCACACUGGAACUGAGACACGGUCCAGACUCCUACGGGAGGCAGCAGUGGGGAAUAUUGCACAAUGGGCGCAAGCCUGAUGCAGCCAUGCCGCGUGUAUGAAGAAGGCCUUCGGGUUGUAAAGUACUUUCAGCGGGGAGGAAGGGAGUAAAGUUAAUACCUUUGCUCAUUGACGUUACCCGCAGAAGAAGCACCGGCUAACUCCG